AUAGGAUCUAGACCUGGCGUAUCUUCAUACGACCAUGCAAAAAUAUCUGGAUAUUCCCGGAGGAGUUGGAUGAUCCUCUUUUAACCCCUUCCCCUAGAGCAGCACCGAUCUUGAUUUCUCGCUUGUUCUCCUCGGUACCUAUGUUGAUAAGCUCAAUCUCUUCCUGG
RNAcentral lists this microRNA precursor (167 nucleotides) under Medicago truncatula (barrel medic). RNAcentral describes it as "MIR2680 microRNA precursor family". It matches the Rfam family "MIR2680 microRNA precursor family". The record is from Rfam by way of RNAcentral. Lineage: Eukaryota; Viridiplantae; Streptophyta; Magnoliopsida; Fabales; Fabaceae.